AUAAUACUCCAUAGAUUAGAGAUACUGGAAUGUUCUUUAGUCAAAAGUUCCGGCGCCUUAGGAUGGAUCUGCGGUCGAUUAGGUUGUUGUUGGGGUAACGGCCCAACAAGCCUGUAAUCGAUACGGGUUGUGGGAGCAAUAGCCCGGAGAUGGAAUCUGAGACAAGAUUCCAGGCCCUACGGGGCGCAGCAGGCGCGAAAACUUUACAAUGCAGGAAACUGUGAUAAGGGAACCCCGAGUGCCCGUAUACGCGGGCUGUCCAGGUGUUUAAAAGUCAUCUGAAGAAAGGGCCGGGCAAGACCGGUGCCAGCCGCCGCGGUAAUACCGGCGGCUCGAGUGGUGGCCACUAUUAUUGGGCUUAAAGCGUCCGUAGCUGGACUGAUAAGUCUCUUGGGAAAUCCGCCGGCUCAACCGGCGGGCGUCUAAGGGAUACUGUUGGUCUAGGGACCGGGAGAGGUGAGAGGUACUCCGGGGGUAGGAGUGAAAUCCUGUAAUCCCCGGGGGACCACCGAUGGCGAAGGCAUCUCACCAGAACGGCUCCGACAGUGAGGGACGAAAGCUGGGGGAGCAAACCGGAUUAGAUACCCGGGUAGUCCCAGCCGUAAACUAUGCGCGUUAGGUGU
RNAcentral lists this ribosomal RNA (623 nucleotides) under uncultured archaeon. RNAcentral's name for it is "bacterial SSU rRNA". It matches the Rfam family "Archaeal small subunit ribosomal RNA", at positions 146 to 774 of the family's 1478-position model. The record is from RNAcentral.